GUCCACAUUUUUGCUCCCUCCCAGCUCCCUGCCAGUCAGUCCACAUUUUUGCUCCCUCUCGGCUCCCUGCCAGUCAGUCCACAUUUUUGCUCCCUCCCAGCUCCCUGCCAGUCAGUCCACAUUUUUGCUCCCUCCCAGCUCCCUGCCAGUCAGUCCACAUUUUUGCUCCCUCCCGGCUCCCUGCCAGACAGUCCACAUUUUUGCUCCCUCCCGGCUCCCUGCCAGACAGUCCACAUUUUUGCUCCCUCCCGGCUCCCUGCCAGUCAGUCCACAUUUUUUGUUCCCAACCAGCUGGGAGGGAGCAAAAACAUGGACUUUCUGUGGGGUCCCCAAAGAACAGACUGGGAAACACUGCUUUAAGUACACUGUAGUAGCAGCCAUCACAAAUGACGCCGUUAAAACCCAACAAUACUGAUAAACACGGUCAGAUCAGACACACUGCUGCCCAUACACAUAAAUGUGGCAACCAGGAGAAUGUAAUGGGUUAAAUUGUCGAGCCAAGGCAAGCAGCCCUUCAUCACUUUGUUUUUAAAUAGCAUGCACUCGGCUAUAACAUGCAGCAGAAUUGGCACCAGCGGGAUGUAGAGGCCGGUCUGAUUUAGCCUUGUAUCUCUUUAAGCUCACCCAAGGCACAAGGUGUGUUCAGUGCUACAUCUGCCUAUUCUCAGGGCCCCAAGGGUCAAUGAAAUCCUGCCUGUACAGCAGAGGAGUGGAAUACAUUAUAGGUGCUAACUACCAUGAGAUUAUUGUCACUUUUUUUUGGCCCUGGUCUUUGAGAAGUGGUGCUCAACCUCUCGCAGCCUGUUAUGUCAUCAAAGCCGUCCAGCAAAUCAAUUUUUCAUGCCACAAAGUCAGGAUUUAAAAAAAAAAAAAAAAACUUUCCCCAAAAGUGCACCGCAUGUGAUCUCUCGUUCCAGAAAAGCGGACAGGCUGGUUCGCGUCGCCAUUAAACGCAUUGGCAUCCGCCAACCCCGGAGGCACUAGGACCCUGUGUGCGAACGGCCACAAGCGGGUCUGUUUUGGCUGCAGUGAGUGGAUCUUCCACAUCACAUGUGCAAGGUGCGGGAGCCGAAUCCCACGGCCGUGUGCGAAGUCUGAACGUCCUCCCAAUAUUGUGCCUCUGAGUCCAAAGACAGGCAGGUGACUGUUCCGGCAACAGCCUCUGACACAAUAACAAAAAAAAAAAAAUGCUAUAAAAAACAGCAACGUCUGUCCGGUUGUGUUAUGAGGCACCAGCACGAGAUGAGGUACGGUGAUCUCAAAUGCCAACUGGAACACCACGCAUGACACUUGUGCUUCUGAGUUUAGUAGAUAAGUUUCUGAGAAUGCAUUUAGUCACGUUUUUUUGCAUGUGCUGAGCAGUGAAGGUUUUAAAUAGGACAAGAUUUGGGGGGGUGGAGUGGAUGGGUAUGGGAGGGGUGAGUUUAGGGGACAAACCCUUCAAUUCACCUGCAACCAGUUAGUAAUUGUUUACAGACGGUUCAUUCUGUCUUUGUGGGAGAGCCGGGAAACAAUGCUUGUUCAUGUCUGUUUGUUAACGUCCAAGAUAUUUGUAUGUCUUUUGGUUCUGAAACCCUUUGGACCCCAUUUGGGUGCCGAGAAAAUUUCUCUGCUCCAUUCUCCAUUCUUCAAGCUACAAAUACAUUCAAACGGCCAUGGUUCUCUCUUUGAAAAGGCUGUAUCCAUCCGACUAUAGCUGUAUGGCUAGAAGAAAUCAAUGUAAUCGAUAAUUAUGGGAUUGAAUAGAAGAUUGCAUAAAAGAUCUAAGAUUGUCAACUGAAUUGGUUUUACUGUGAUUAAGCCGACACAUUCUGCAAAAUUUCUUACCAUUUUACACGGGAGACUCUACGAAAAUAACAAAACCAUACAUAAGCAAAACAGAGUAAAUGAAAAUAUGGCUGAUGACACAUUAGUUUGCAUUAAAGAAUGAAAGAAUAUGUCAUGGGUUAAGUCAAUAUUUGGCGUCCCCACACCUUAAGAAUGGCCUUUCAGACUGACUUGCUUCACUACUAUUCAUCAAAUCAAAUCACUUUUAUGGCCAAAUCACUAGAAUGAGGGAACUAGUGAGUGAAAGUCUUGGGUUACAAGUUCCUAUCAGCAGCGCGGUAGAUUAAAAAAACACAAAAUGUAAGUAUAUUAACUGUACAACAGUGAACUGCAUGUAAACUGUACAUAAAUCAACUGUAAUAUGUAACAAUAAUAUGUAGCUCUACAUAUGCACAAAUGCAAGUGUAAUACACAUACCAUACAGUAUAUAGACAGUAUGCAUUCAGCAUGCCAUGGACAGACAGACAGACUGUAGGUGUAAUACAGUACAGUUUAAUAAAGCAAAGACAUUCACCAAUCUUGGUCAAAAGAGGAUAUCUCCGCAUCUUUAUACACGUCCGGGUUUGGGCGCGUCUUGUUAGCCAAAGGGCAGGACUCUGAAAGCAAAAGGGCCUGUACUUCUCAGUAGGAUGCAACUCACCAGUACAGCUACUGUCCACGAACAGGCUAUAUGCACAGAGCCUCUUGGGUGGGGCGUGACCGGAAGAUGGACAGCUCUGCCAGUACCGGAACCAACGGGUGUGAGCUUGUGAAUGAAGACGAUCAAUUCAUUCGGGGAAAUGAAUCCUUCCCGUCCCGCUGGCGUGAAAUACAGUAAAGGUUACAGGUCCUUAUCUCUGCGUCUGGGAUUUCAGCAGAGCGAUGAAGCACUGUGCUGGAACACACAGCUGAAUGUUAACAUCGGCUGUAGGUUCUGGCUCUUGGCUCUGCAUGAGUGGCGUUUACAUUUUAUAAUUUUACUUUGUGGGUUUCCUCUGCUAUUCUGGUUCCCUCCCACAGUCCAAAAGACCGGUUUUUAGGCAAAUUGGCAUCUCAGGCGUGCACACAGGUGUACACACAGGUACUCACAGACACACACUGUCUUAAUCAGCUGUUGCUUCUUAACAUGUUCAUUGUGACUCGUACAGAUGUUGGUUGUUGUUUUCUCUCUGCAGCAGGUAUUGAAGAAGAUUAUCUGUGUUUUUUCCCUCCCUCUCUCUCUCUAUCUCCCUUCUUCUCCGUUUUCUUCCUUCUUUCCCCCUCUCUCUCCAUCUCCUUCUCGAGGAAAUAAAUAAAAA
Molecule: long non-coding RNA, 3104 nt
Organism: Brienomyrus brachyistius
Lineage: Eukaryota; Metazoa; Chordata; Actinopteri; Osteoglossiformes; Mormyridae
Exons: 3
Source: RefSeq, a predicted model, not a curated record